GUCAGUUUGGCCGAGUGGUUAUGGCGUGUGACUCAAGCGUAAGCUUCCGUUCAUCUGAAUGGUUUCUCAGAUCAAUUUCGAUCAGAGGUUUCUCAUCACGAAAGUGGCAAGGGUUCGAAUCCCUUAGCUGACA
Didymella sp. IMI 355093 is the source of this 133-nucleotide non-coding RNA. The record is from the annotation of a GenBank genome assembly. NCBI's taxonomy places the organism in Eukaryota, Fungi, Ascomycota, Dothideomycetes, Pleosporales, Didymellaceae.